Molecule: ribosomal RNA, 492 nt
Filed under: uncultured bacterium
Lineage: Bacteria
Description: partial 16S ribosomal RNA
Rfam family: Bacterial small subunit ribosomal RNA
Source: RNAcentral
AGUGAACGCUGGCGGUAGGCCUAACACAUGCAAGUCGAACGGCAGCACAGUAAGAGCUUGCUCUUACGGGUGGCGAGUGGCGGACGGGUGAGGAAUACAUCGGAAUCUACUUUUUCGUGGGGGAUAACGUAGGGAAACUUACGCUAAUACCGCAUACGACCUACGGGUGAAAGCAGGGGAUCUUCGGACCUUGCGCGAUUGAAUGAGCCGAUGUCGGAUUAGCUAGUUGGCGGGGUAAAGGCCCACCAAGGCGACGAUCCGUAGCUGGUCUGAGAGGAUGAUCAGCCACACUGGAACUGAGACACGAUCCAGACUCCUACGGGAGGCAGCCGUGGGGAAUAUUGGACAAUGGGCGCAAGCCUGAUCCAGCCAUACCGCGUGGGUGAAGAAGGCCUUCGGGUUGUAAAGCCCUUUUGUUGGGAAAGAAAAGCAGCAGGUUAAUACCCCGCUGUUCUGACGGUACCCAAAGAAUAAGCACCGGCUAACUUCGUG